This 951-nucleotide ribosomal RNA is filed under the name Lactobacillus delbrueckii. Its description in RNAcentral is "bacterial SSU rRNA". It matches the Rfam family "Bacterial small subunit ribosomal RNA", at positions 546 to 1500 of the family's 1533-position model. Lineage: Bacteria; Bacillati; Bacillota; Bacilli; Lactobacillales; Lactobacillaceae. The record is from RNAcentral.
CGGAUUUAUUGGGCGUAAGCGAGCGCAGGCGGAAUGAUAAGUCUGAUGUGAAAGCCCACGGCUCAACCGUGGAACUGCAUCGGAAACUGUCAUUCUUGAGUGCAGAAGAGGAGAGUGGAACUCCAUGUGUAGCGGUGGAAUGCGUAGAUAUAUGGAAGAACACCAGUGGCGAAGGCGGCUCUCUGGUCUGCAACUGACGCUGAGGCUCGAAAGCAUGGGUAGCGAACAGGAUUAGAUACCCUGGUAGUCCAUGCCGUAAACGAUGAGCGCUAGGUGUUGGGGACUUUCCGGUCCUCAGUGCCGCAGCAAACGCAUUAAGCGCUCCGCCUGGGGAGUACGACCGCAAGGUUGAAACUCAAAGGAAUUGACGGGGGCCCGCACAAGCGGUGGAGCAUGUGGUUUAAUUCGAAGCAACGCGAAGAACCUUACCAGGUCUUGACAUCCUGCGCUACACCUAGAGAUAGGUGGUUCCCUUCGGGGACGCAGAGACAGGUGGUGCAUGGCUGUCGUCAGCUCGUGUCGUGAGAUGUUGGGUUAAGUCCCGCAACGAGCGCAACCCUUGUCUUUAGUUGCCAUCAUUAAGUUGGGCACUCUAAAGAGACUGCCGGUGACAAACCGGAGGAAGGUGGGGAUGACGUCAAGUCAUCAUGCCCCUUAUGACCUGGGCUACACACGUGCUACAAUGGGCAGUACAACGAGAAGCGAACCCGCGAGGGUAAGCGGAUCUCUUAAAGCUGCUCUCAGUUCGGACUGCAGGCUGCAACUCGCCUGCACGAAGCUGGAAUCGCUAGUAAUCGCGGAUCAGCACGCCGCGGUGAAUACGUUCCCGGGCCUUGUACACACCGCCCGUCACACCAUGGAAGUCUGCAAUGCCCAAAGUCGGUGAGAUAACCUUUAUAGGAGUCAGCCGCCUAAGGAGGGAGAUGACUGGGGUGAAGUCUACAGGGACAA